RNAcentral lists this ribosomal RNA (1372 nucleotides) under uncultured bacterium. Its description in RNAcentral is "bacterial SSU rRNA". It matches the Rfam family "Bacterial small subunit ribosomal RNA", at positions 28 to 1381 of the family's 1533-position model. The record is from RNAcentral.
GAUAAACGCUGGCGGCGUGCCUAAUACAUGCAAGUCGAGCGAACGGACGAGAAGCUUGCUUCUCUGAUGUUAGCGGCGGACGGGUGAGUAACACGUGGAUAACCUACCUAUAAGACUGGGAUAACUUCGGGAAACCGGAGCUAAUACCGGAUAAUAUUUUGAACCGCAUGGUUCAAAAGUGAAAGACGGUCUUGCUGUCACUUAUAGAUGGAUCCGCGCUGCAUUAGCUAGUUGGUAAGGUAACGGCUUACCAAGGCAACGAUGCAUAGCCGACCUGAGAGGGUGAUCGGCCACACUGGAACUGAGACACGGUCCAGACUCCUACGGGAGGCAGCAGUAGGGAAUCUUCCGCAAUGGGCGAAAGCCUGACGGAGCAACGCCGCGUGAGUGAUGAAGGUCUUCGGAUCGUAAAACUCUGUUAUUAGGGAAGAACAUAUGUGUAAGUAACUGUGCACAUCUUGACGGUACCUAAUCAGAAAGCCACGGCUAACUACGUGCCAGCAGCCGCGGUAAUACGUAGGUGGCAAGCGUUAUCCGGAAUUAUUGGGCGUAAAGCGCGCGUAGGCGGUUUUUUAAGUCUGAUGUGAAAGCCCACGGCUCAACCGUGGAGGGUCAUUGGAAACUGGAAAACUUGAGUGCAGAAGAGGAAGGUGGAAUUCCAUGUGUAGCGGUGAAAUGCGCAGAGAUAUGGAGGAACACCAGUGGCGAAGGCGACUUUCUGGUCUGUAACUGACGCUGAUGUGCGAAAGCGUGGGGAUCAAACAGGAUUAGAUACCCUGGUAGUCCACGCCGUAAACGAUGAGUGCUAAGUGUUAGGGGGUUUCCGCCCCUUAGUGCUGCAGCUAACGCAUUAAGCACUCCGCCUGGGGAGUACGACCGCAAGGUUGAAACUCAAAGGAAUUGACGGGGACCCGCACAAGCGGUGGAGCAUGUGGUUUAAUUCGAAGCAACGCGAAGAACCUUACCAAAUCUUGACAUCCUUUGACAACUCUAGAGAUAGAGCCUUCCCCUUCGGGGGACAAAGUGACAGGUGGUGCAUGGUUGUCGUCAGCUCGUGUCGUGAGAUGUUGGGUUAAGUCCCGCAACGAGCGCAACCCUUAAGCUUAGUUGCCAUCAUUAAGUUGGGCACUCUAAGUUGACUGCCGGUGACAAACCGGAGGAAGGUGGGGAUGACGUCAAAUCAUCAUGCCCCUUAUGAUUUGGGCUACACACGUGCUACAAUGGACAAUACAAAGGGCAGCGAAACCGCGAGGUCAAGCAAAUCCCAUAAAGUUGUUCUCAGUUCGGAUUGUAGUCUGCAACUCGACUACAUGAAGCUGGAAUCGCUAGUAAUCGUAGAUCAGCAUGCUACGGUGAAUACGUUCCCGGGUCU